GUAGUCCACGCCCUAAACGAUGUCAACUAGCUGUUGGGCCCUUCGGGGCUUAGUAGCGCAGCUAACGCGUGAAGUUGACCGCCUGGGGAGUACGGUCGCAAGAUUAAAACUCAAAGGAAUUGACGGGGACCCGCACAAGCGGUGGAUGAUGUGGAUUAAUUCGAUGCAACGCGAAAAACCUUACCUACCCUUGACAUGUCUGGAAUCCUGAAGAGAUUUAGGAGUGCUCGCAAGAGAACCGGAACACAGGUGCUGCAUGGCUGUCGUCAGCUCGUGUCGUGAGAUGUUGGGUUAAGUCCCGCAACGAGCGCAACCCUUGUCAUUAGUUGCUACAUUUAGUNUGGAGCACUCUAAUGAGACUGCCGGNUGACAACCCCGGAGGAGGUGGGGUUUUUNNNGUCAANUUCCCCAAUGGCCCCUUNUUGNUUGGGGUUUCCAAA
RNAcentral lists this ribosomal RNA (440 nucleotides) under unidentified beta proteobacterium S38. RNAcentral describes it as "bacterial SSU rRNA". It matches the Rfam family "Bacterial small subunit ribosomal RNA", at positions 790 to 1222 of the family's 1533-position model. The record is from RNAcentral. Lineage: Bacteria; Pseudomonadati; Pseudomonadota; Betaproteobacteria.